GACGAACGCUGGCGGCGUGCCUAAUACAUGCAAGUCGAACGAGAGCGACCGGUGCUUGCACUGGUCAAUCUAGUGGCGAACGGGUGAGUAACACGUGGGUAACCUGCCCAUCAGAGGGGGAUAACAUCCGGAAACGGAUGCUAAAACCGCAUAGGUCUUCGAACCGCGUGGUUUGAAGAGGAAAAGAGGCGCAAGCUUCUGCUGAUGGAUGGACCCGCGGUGCAUUAGCUAGUUGGUGAGGUAACGGCUCACCAAGGCCGUGAUGCAUAGCCGACCUGAGAGGGUGAUCGGCCACAUUGGGACUGAGACACGGCCCAAACUCCUACGGGAGGCAGCAGUAGGGAAUCUUCCGCAAUGGACGCAAGUCUGACGGAGCAACGCCGCGUGAGUGAAGAAGGUUUUCGGAUCGUAAAACUCUGUUGUUAGAGAAGAACAAGUGCUAGAGUAACUGUUAGCGCCUUGACGGUAUCUAACCAGAAAGCCACGGCUAACUACGUG
This 498-nucleotide ribosomal RNA is filed under the name uncultured bacterium. RNAcentral describes it as "partial 16S ribosomal RNA". It matches the Rfam family "Bacterial small subunit ribosomal RNA", at positions 28 to 507 of the family's 1533-position model. The record is from RNAcentral.